Molecule: long non-coding RNA, 966 nt
Organism: Salvelinus namaycush (lake trout)
Lineage: Eukaryota; Metazoa; Chordata; Actinopteri; Salmoniformes; Salmonidae
Exons: 5
Source: RefSeq, a predicted model, not a curated record
CUGCCUGCUUUUCCCGGACGGAGGCGGCCAUCUUUUCUGUUUAUGCAGUGACGGGGCAAGAGAUGACGUGGCAGCCAAGUGCGGCUUGGUUGAGAGGCAGUGUGUAGUUCGAGGCAGAGGCAGUGUGUAGACACUAGUUCGGUGUGUAGUUCAGUGUGUAGACUUGACUCAAUGUGGGCAGAGUAAAACGUAUGGGCCGGGCUCAAUGUGGGCAGAGUAAAACGUAUGGGCCGGGCUCAAUGUGGGCAGAGUGAAACGUCUGGGCCGGGCUCAAUGUGGGCAGAGUGAAACGUCUGGGCCGGACUCAAUGUGGGCAGAGUGAAACGUCUGGGCCGGGCUAAAUGUGGCAGAGUCAAACGUCUGGGCCGGACUCAAUGUGGGCAGAGUGAAACGUCUGGGCCGGGCUCAAUGUGAGCGGGGUAAAACGUCUGGGCCGGGCUCAAUGUGGGCAGAGUGAAACGUCUGGGCCGGGCUAAAUGUGGCAGAGUCAAACGUCUGGGCCGGACUCAAUGUGGGCAGAGUGAAACGUCUGGGCCGGGCUCAAUGUGAGCGGGGUAAAACGUCUGGGCCGGGCUCAAUGUGGGCAGAGUGAAACGUCUGGGCCGGGCUCAAUGUGGGCGGAGUAAAACGUCUGGGCCGGGCUCAAUGUGGGCAGAGUGAAACGUCUGGGCCGGGCUCAAUGUGAGCGGAGUAAAACGUCUGGGCCGAGCUCAAUGUGGGCGGAGUCAAACGUGUUUAACCCGAACCUCACCAAGAUCACCCAAAUUUAGGGCCUACCAAAGCACGGUUUCUCAAACAACUGUGGGGUGUUUGUUUUGAUGUACACUCUGUACAUUGCAAUGGAAGCACAGUGUGAUUUCACUGAGGAAACAUGCAGAAAAUUAGGCGACGGUGGUGCCUCGUUCUCCUGCAGAACUUUCCCAUGCUGACCUGAGCCCUAGGACCAUGCCUCAGGACGACCUGGCA